This 422-nucleotide ribosomal RNA is filed under the name uncultured bacterium. Its description in RNAcentral is "bacterial SSU rRNA". It matches the Rfam family "Bacterial small subunit ribosomal RNA", at positions 355 to 774 of the family's 1533-position model. The record is from RNAcentral.
UAAGGAAUAUUGGUCAAUGGACGCAAGUCUGAACCAGCCAUGCCGCGUGAAGGAUGAAGGUCCUCUGGAUUGUAAACUUCUUUUAUCUGGGACGAAACACUUCUUUUCUAAGAGGCCUGACGGUACCAGAUGAAUAAGCACCGGCUAACUCCGUGCCAGCAGCCGCGGUAAUACGGAGGGUGCAAGCGUUAUCCGGAUUCACUGGGUUUAAAGGGUGCGUAGGUGGGUAUGUAAGUCAGUGGUGAAAUCCCCGAGCUUAACUUGGGAACUGCCAUUGAUACUAUAUAUCUUGAAUACCGUAGAGGUAAGCGGAAUAUGUCAUGUAGCGGUGAAAUGCUUAGAUAUGACAUGGAACACCAAUUGCGAAGGCAGCUUACUAUGCGGUGAUUGACACUGAGGCACGAAAGCGUGGGUAGCAAACA